CAGGCUUAACACAUGCAAGUCGAGCGUCAACGGGAAGAAAGCUUGCUUUCUUUGCCGGCGACCGGCGCACGGGUGAGUAACACGUAUCCAACCUGCCCUUUACUCGGGGAUAGCCUUUCGAAAGAAAGAUUAAUACCCGAUAGUAUAACGAUUCCGCAUGGUUUCAUUAUUAAAGGAUUCCGGUAAAGGAUGGGGAUGCGUUCCAUUAGGUUGUUGGUGAGGUAACGGCUCACCAAGCCUUCGAUGGAUAGGGGUUCUGAGAGGAAGGUCCCCCACAUUGGAACUGAGACACGGUCCAAACUCCUACGGGAGGCAGCAGUGAGGAAUAUUGGUCAAUGGGCGCUAGCCUGAACCAGCCAAGUAGCGUGAAGGAUGAAGGCUCUAUGGGUCGUAAACUUCUUUUAUAUAAGAAUAAAGUGCAGUAUGUAUACUGUUUUGUAUGUAUUAUAUGAAUAAGGAUCGGCUAACUCCGUGCCAGCAGCCGCGGUAAUACGGAGGAUCCGAGCGUUAUCCGGAUUUAUUGGGUUUAAAGGGAGCGUAGGUGGACUGGUAAGUCAGUUGUGAAAGUUUGCGGGCUCAACCGUAAAAUUGCAGUUGAUACUGUCAGUCUUGAGUACAGUAGAGGUGGGCGGAAUUCGUGGUGUAGCGGUGAAAUGCUUAGAUAUCACGAAGAACUCCGAUUGCGAAGGCAGCUCACUGGACUGCAACUGACACUGAUGCUCGAAAGUGUGGGUAUCAAACAGGAUUAGAUACCCUGGUAGUCCACACAGUAAACGAUGAAUACUCGCUGUUUGCGAUAUACAGUAAGCGGCCAAGCGAAAGCAUUAAGUAUUCCACCUGGGGAGUACGCCGGCAACGGCGAAACUCAAAGGAAUUGACGGGGGCCCGCACAAGCGGAGGAACAUGUGGUUUAAUUCGAUGAUACGCGAGGAACCUUACCCGGGCUUAAAUUGCAGUGGAAUGAUGUGGAAACAUGUCAGUGAGCAAUCACCGCUGUGAAGGUGCUGCAUGGUUGUCGUCAGCUCGUGCCGUGAGGUGUCGGCUUAAGUGCCAUAACGAGCGCAACCCUUAUCUUCAGUUACUAACAGGUCAUGCUGAGGACUCUGGAGAGACUGCCGUCGUAAGAUGUGAGGAAGGUGGGGAUGACGUCAAAUCAGCACGGCCCUUACGUCCGGGGCUACACACGUGUUACAAUGGGGGGUACAGAAGGCAGCUAGCGGGUGACCGUAUGCUAAUCCCAAAAUCCUCUCUCAGUUCGGAUCGAAGUCUGCAACCCGACUUCGUGAAGCUGGAUUCGCUAGUAAUCGCGCAUCAGCCACGGCGCGGUGAAUACGUUCCCGGGCCUUGUACACACCGCCCGUCAAGCCAUGGGAGCCGGGGGUACCUGAAGAACGUAACCGCAAGGAUCGUCCUAGGGUAAAACUGGUGACU
Molecule: ribosomal RNA, 1431 nt
Filed under: uncultured organism
Description: 16S ribosomal RNA
Rfam family: Bacterial small subunit ribosomal RNA
Source: RNAcentral